RNAcentral lists this ribosomal RNA (608 nucleotides) under Scopulariopsis brevicaulis (arsenic fungus). RNAcentral describes it as "LSU rRNA". It matches the Rfam family "Eukaryotic large subunit ribosomal RNA", at positions 38 to 667 of the family's 3401-position model. The record is from RNAcentral. Lineage: Eukaryota; Fungi; Ascomycota; Sordariomycetes; Microascales; Microascaceae.
GCAUAUCAAUAAGCGGAGGAAAAGAAACCAACAGGGAUUGCCUUAGUAACGGCGAGUGAAGCGGCAACAGCUCAAAUUUGAAAUCUGGUCCCCUUUGGGGGCCCGAGUUGUAAUUUGAAGAGGAUGCUUUUGGCGAGGCGCCGUCCGAGUUCCCUGGAACGGGACGCCGCAGAGGGUGAGAGCCCCGUACGGUCGGACGCCGAGCCUCUGUAAAGCUCCUUCGACGAGUCGAGUAGUUUGGGAAUGCUGCUCAAAAUGGGAGGUAAACCCCUUCUAAAGCUAAAUACUGGCCAGAGACCGAUAGCGCACAAGUAGAGUGAUCGAAAGAUGAAAAGCACUUUGAAAAGAGAGUUAAAAAGCACGUGAAAUUGUUAAAAGGGAAGCGCUUGCGACCAGACUUGCGCCCGUCGGAUCAACCGUCGCUUGCGGCGGCGCACUCCGGCGGGCUCAGGCCAGCAUCAGUUCGUCCGGGGGGAGAAAGGCGGCGGGAAUGUGGCUCUUCGGAGUGUUAUAGCCCGCCGUGUAAUACCCUCGGGUGGACUGAGGACCGCGCGUAUGCAAGGAUGCUGGCGUAAUGGUCGUCAGCGACCCGUCUUGAAACACGGACC